AUUGAACGCUGGCGGCAUGAUUUACACAUGCAAGUCGAACGGUAACAGGCCGCAAGGUGCUGACGAGUGGCGAACGGGUGAGUAAUGCAUCGGAACGUGCCCAGUCGUGGGGGAUAACUACUCGAAAGAGUAGCUAAUACCGCAUACGAUCUAUGGAUGAACGCGGGGGACCGUAAGGCCUCGCGCGAUUGGAGCGGACGAUGUCAGAUUCGGUAGUUGGUGGGGUAAAGGCUCACCAAGCCAACGAUCUGUAGCUGGUCUGAGAGGACGACCAGCCACACUGGGACUGAGACACGGCCCAGACUCCUACGGGAGGCAGCAGUGGGGAAUUUUGGACAAUGGGCGCAAGCCUGAUCCAGCAAUGCCGCGUGCAGGAAGAAGGCCUUCGGGUUGUAAACUGCUUUUGUACGGAACGAAACGGCUCUGGUUAAUACCCGGGGCUAAUGACGGUACCGUAAGAAUAAGCACCGGCUAACUACGUG
Molecule: ribosomal RNA, 482 nt
Filed under: uncultured bacterium
Lineage: Bacteria
Description: partial 16S ribosomal RNA
Rfam family: Bacterial small subunit ribosomal RNA
Source: RNAcentral